Molecule: ribosomal RNA, 274 nt
Filed under: uncultured bacterium
Lineage: Bacteria
Description: partial 16S ribosomal RNA
Rfam family: Bacterial small subunit ribosomal RNA
Source: RNAcentral
AUACGGAUGGUGCGAGCGUUGUUCGGAAUUACUGGGCGUAAAGGGCGCGUAGGCGGCGAUGUAAGUCAAAUGUGAAAGUCCUCGGCUUAACCGGGGAAGUGCAUCUGAAACUGCAUUGCUUGAGUAUGGGAGAGGAAAGUGGAAUUCCCGGUGUAGAGGUGAAAUUCGUAGAGAUCGGGAGGAAUACCGGUGGCGAAGGCGACUUUCUGGACCAAUACUGACGCUGAGGCGCGAAAGCGUGCGGAGCAAACAGGAUUAGAAAACCUAGUAGUCC